AGGUUGUAUAAAAUAAACUGACAACACAGAAGUUAUUUUGGCCUUGUGUUCCAUAGUGACUCACCAAAUAUACCCUGAAGUGUUUAUUUUAUUUUUUUCUAUUUCACUGUUAAAGCGAGCAGAUGCAUUUCACAUCACAUGGAUCUCGUGGAAACAUGCCAACCAUUUUCUUAGCAACCAAACUCCUGUCUUCUGCACUGUGCAUGAUUAACUACAACAGCCUGUUGACGGCUUAAAAUAAACCUGCCUUUUUCCAUUUAGCAUUUUAUCAAAUGAAUGUAAUUUCAUUUGCUGAUGAAUUUAGUUCAGCUUCAAGGGAAUUUUUCUCUUCUUCAUGGGGAGGCUGAAGAAUCAGAACUGUCAUGCCAAAGAAAGAAAAGCAAGCCUAGGGAGAAAAACAGUCUGAUGUUUACAUGGGCUGCCUGUUCCUGGGAGCAGCAAAGUCCUUCUGUGGGUGACCGCAACCUCCGCAUGGGUCCAUAAUGACAAGGUGACUUCAAAGAUGGCAGAUUAUAGGGGCAGAUCUGCAUGCUGUAUCUGACUGACACUCAACCAGGGAUACCAGAAGGGUUAACUGGCAAUUCUGUGACUCGAGAACAAUUUAAACAGCUAAUCAGAUCCACAAAGCAAGUAUCCAUAACUGAACCAAAAGACUUCCGCACAGCACAUCAGGACACCUGAGGGAGCCAUCCAUCUCUGCGCCUGAAAGUGGCUCAACUAUACAUCAGAGGAGGCUGUGGAGCCAGGGCCGGUGGUAUAGGUGGCAGAGGUGGUGGCAGGCCCAUAUGACCUUCUGGCAGAGGAGGCAGAAGGUAAAGGUGGUAGGUGGUCAUCUGCCUGGCCACAUGUGCUGCAGCUGGCGGGACUCACUCUCUCUGAGGAGAGACCACAGUGACUGUGGGGAGGGAAAGGAAAGGGAAGGAGGCAAAGAGAACUGAAGGAAUGCUGUUUCCUGCUGGAGGCCCCAUGAUUCUGACAAGACAUCAUCCAUGAACCUCUGGGAAACACCUCCCCCUCCAUAACUCAAGGAUCCCCUACUGGCAAUGGGCACAGCCAAAGCAUCAGGUGGUAAGCACACACCUCCCGCCACUCUGUCACCACACUUUUUCUUUCCAGUCUGUCAGCUGUUUUUUUUUUUUAAUUGUAUGUAUUUUUUUCAUGUGCCUUUUAUUUCAAAGUCCCUGAUUUUAUCAGUACUGUUAGAUAUGUAGAUCUUCUCGUCCCUAGGGAUGGCUUAAAGUCUUUAAAUUUUUUUUUAAUGUUUAUUUUUGAGAGAGAGAGAGACAGAGCAUGAGCAGGGGAGGGGCAGAGAAAGAGGGAGACACAGAAUCCGAAGCAGGCUCCAGGCUCUGAGGCGUCAGCACAGAGCCCGAUGGGGGGCUCAAAGUCACGAACUGUGAGAUCAUGACCUCAGGCAAAGUCGGAUGCUCAACCAACUGAGCCACCCAGACACACCAUGGAUGGCUUAAAGUCUUUAAAUAGCUAAAGAACAACUGAGAACUUGAGUACUAACUAGAUAUUUGAAGAUAUUAUAAAGCUGUUCAUUUUUUAGAUGUCUUCUUGGUACUGGAUGAUGGCAUUGUUUUAAAGGUCGUUAUAUUUCAGAAAGAUACAGCUGAAAUAUUUAUGAAUAAAACAAGUGGAUAUCUAAAAUCUGUUUCCAAAAACUAGAGAGGUAGGGGAGAGUACAUAUGAAAAAGUAUUUCUGUAAGGUGACAUUUUUUAAGUUUUAAUUUUUUAGUGAAGUAUAGUUGGCACACAAUGUUACAUUAGUUUCAGGUGUACAACAUAGUGAUUCCACAACUCUCUACCUUAUGUGCUCACCACAACUAGAGUGAACAUCUCACUCUACAAUGCUAUUACAAUACCAUUGACUAUAAUCUCUAUGCUGUACUUUUUAGUACUUUUUAUUCCCGUGACUUAUUUAUUCCACACUGGAAGGCUGUACCUCCAACUAACUCAUUUUGCCCAUCUUAUCACCACUCUCCCCUCUGGCAAUCAUCAGUUUGAUCUCUGUCUUUACAGAUCUAUUUCUGCCCCCCCUUAGUCCCUAUUACCUAUUUAACCCAUCCCCUGCCCACCUCCCCUCCAGCAUCCCUCAAGAUGUUUUAUGGUUUGCCUCUCUCUUUCCACCCCUAUGUUAAUUUGUAAAUUUUGCUUUCUGCUACUUCAUUAUUAGUGUAUAGAAACACAACUGACUUCUGCAUAUUAAUUUUGUAUCCUGCAACUUCACUGAAUUCAUUUAUUCUAACAGUUAUUGGUCGAGUCAUGUUUUCUACAUAUGGUACCAUGUCAUCUGCAAACAGUGACAAGUUUAACUUGUUUCUUGUCAGUUUGAAUGACUUUCAUUUUUUGUCCAAUUGCUGUGCCUAGGUCUUCUAGUACUAUAUUGCAUAAAAGUGGCAAGAACAAGACCAUCUUGUCUUUUUACUGAUCUUAAAGCUCUGUUUCUCUCCACUGAGUAUGAUUUUAGCUGUAAAUUUGUCAUAUAUGGCCUUUAUUAUAUUGAGGUAUGUUCCCUCUACACCCACUUUGAGUUUUUGUUAU
This is a long non-coding RNA of Neofelis nebulosa (Clouded leopard), 2547 nucleotides long. RefSeq lists it as uncharacterized. The transcript is spliced from 5 exons. NCBI's taxonomy places the organism in Eukaryota, Metazoa, Chordata, Mammalia, Carnivora, Felidae. The record is from RefSeq and is a predicted model, not a curated record.